Molecule: small RNA, 85 nt
Filed under: Sinorhizobium meliloti 2011
Lineage: Bacteria; Pseudomonadati; Pseudomonadota; Alphaproteobacteria; Hyphomicrobiales; Rhizobiaceae
Description: putative ncRNA
Source: RNAcentral
ACCGCUUCCAUGUCGGUGCGAUCGAAGCCGAGCGACCGCACGGCACUGACGCAUUUGAACAGAAGGACGGCACGGCGCCGCUCGA